UCUUGCGCAAUGCGCGAAAGCGUGACGCAGCAACGCCGCGUGGGGGAAGAAGGCUUUCGGGUCGUAACCCCCUUUCAGGAGGGACGAAGCCCGGACGGUGAAUAGCCGAUUCGGGUGACGGUACCUCCAGAAGAAGCCCCGGCUAACUACGUGCCAGCAGCCGCGGUAAUACGUAGGGGGCAAGCGUUGUCCGGAAUCAUUGGGCGUAAAGAGCGUGUAGGCGGUCCGAUAAGUCGGCUGUGAAAGUCAAGGGCUCAACCCUUGUAUGCCGGCCGAUACUGUCGGGCUAGAGUCCGGAAGAGGCGAGUGGAAUUCCUGGUGUAGCGGUGAAAUGCGCAGAUAUCAGGAGGAACACCAAUGGCGAAGGCAGCUCGCUAGGACGGUACUGACGCUGAGACGCGAAAGCGUGGGGAGCAAAC
Molecule: ribosomal RNA, 419 nt
Filed under: uncultured bacterium
Lineage: Bacteria
Description: bacterial SSU rRNA
Rfam family: Bacterial small subunit ribosomal RNA
Source: RNAcentral